Molecule: ribosomal RNA, 813 nt
Filed under: uncultured bacterium
Lineage: Bacteria
Description: bacterial SSU rRNA
Rfam family: Bacterial small subunit ribosomal RNA
Source: RNAcentral
CCCUGUUUCCUGGCUUUAAAAGGAGCGUAAGCGGCCUUGUAAGUCAGCGGUGAAAUUUUGCAUCUUAACUGUAAAAGUGCCGUUGAUACUGUGAGGCUAGGAUUUGGUUGCUGUGGGUGGAAUGUGUGGUGUAGCGGUGAAAUGCUUAGAGAUCACACAGAAUAUCGAUUGCGAAGGCAGCUCACAAAGCCAAGAUUGGCGCUGAGGCACGAAAGUGUGGGGAUCAAACAGGAUUAGAUACCCUGGUAGUCCACACUGUAAACGAUGAUAACUCGCUGUCGGCGAUAUACAGUCGGUGGCCAAGCGAAAGCGAUAAGUUAUCCACCUGGGGAGUACGACCGCAAGGUUGAAACUCAAAGGAAUUGACGGGGGCCCGCACAAGCGGAGGAACAUGUGGUUUAAUUCGAUGAUACGCGAGGAACCUUACCCGGGCUCGAACGGUGCAGGAAUAUGGUAGAGAUAUCAUAGCUAGCAAUAGUCUGUAUCGAGGUGCUGCAUGGUUGUCGUCAGCUCGUGCCGUGAGGUGUCGGCUUAAGUGCCAUAGCGAGCGCAACCCUUGUCAUUAGUUACCAUCAGGUCAAGCUGGGGACUCUAAUGAGACUGCCACCGUAAGGUGAGAGGAAGGGGGGGGAUGACGUCAAAUCAGCACGGCCCUUAUGUCCGGGGGCGACACACGUGUUACAAUGGGGGGGUACAGAGGGCAGCCAUCCGGGCGACGGAGCGCCAAUCUUAAAAACCCCUUCUCAGUUCGGAUUGGGAAUCUGCCAACCCGACUUCAUGAAGUUGGAUUCGCCUAGUAAAUCGCGCAUCAGG